CCAAUAGCGUAUAUUAAAGUUGUUGCAGUUAAAAAGCUCGUAGUUGAAUUUCGGGAUUAGUACGUCGGUCGUGCCUUAGGUACGUACUGGUGUUACUGGUUCCUACCUUCUGACGAACCAUCAUGUCAUUAAUUUGGUGUGGUGGGGAAUCAGGACUGUUACUUUGAAAAAAUUAGAGUGUUUAAAGCAGGCUCGCGCUUGAAUACAUUAGCAUGGAAUAAUGAAAUAGGACGUUGAUCCUAUUUUGUUGGUUUCUAGGAUUGACGUAAUGAUUAAUAGGGAUAGUUGGGGGCAUUAGUAUUCAAUUGUCAGAGGUGAAAUUCUUGGAUUUAUUGAAGACUAACUACUGCGAAAGCAUUUGCCAAGGAUGUUUUCAUUAAUCAAGAACGAAAGUUAGGGGAUCGAAGACGAUCAGAUACCGUCGUAGUCUUAACCAUAAACUAUGCCGACUAGGGAUCGGAUGAUGUUAUUUUUAAUGACUCAUUCGGCGCCUUACG
RNAcentral lists this ribosomal RNA (497 nucleotides) under uncultured Glomeromycotina. RNAcentral's name for it is "partial small subunit ribosomal RNA". It matches the Rfam family "Eukaryotic small subunit ribosomal RNA", at positions 591 to 1092 of the family's 1831-position model. Lineage: Eukaryota; Fungi; Glomeromycota. The record is from RNAcentral.